GAUGAACGCUGGCGGCGUGCCUAAUACAUGCAAGUCGAGCGAACAGACGAGGAGCUUGCUCCUCUGACGUUAGCGGCGGACGGGUGAGUAACACGUGGAUAACCUACCUAUAAGACUGGGAUAACUUCGGGAAACCGGAGCUAAUACCGGAUAAUAUAUUGAACCGCAUGGUUCAAUAGUGAAAGACGGUUUUGCUGUCACUUAUAGAUGGAUCCGCGCCGCAUUAGCUAGUUGGUAAGGUAACGGCUUACCAAGGCAACGAUGCGUAGCCGACCUGAGAGGGUGAUCGGCCACACUGGAACUGAGACACGGUCCAGACUCCUACGGGAGGCAGCAGUAGGGAAUCUUCCGCAAUGGGCGAAAGCUUGCCGGAGCAACGCCGCGUGAGUGAUGAAGGUCUUCUGAUCGUAAAACUCUGUUAUUAGGGAAGAACAAAUGUGUAAGUAACUAUGCACGUCUUGACGGUACCUAAUCAGAAAGCCACGGCUAACUACGUG
This 497-nucleotide ribosomal RNA is filed under the name uncultured bacterium. RNAcentral describes it as "partial 16S ribosomal RNA". It matches the Rfam family "Bacterial small subunit ribosomal RNA", at positions 28 to 507 of the family's 1533-position model. The record is from RNAcentral.